GCUCAGAACGAACGCUGGCGGCGUGCCUAACACAUGCAAGUCGAACGGUAACAGGGACUUCGGUCCGCUGACGAGUGGCGCACGGGUGAGUAACGCGUGGAGUACCUGCCCAUCAGUGUGGAACAACCUGGAGAAAUCCAGGCUAAUACCGCAUACAACCUUCGGGUGAAAGAGGGGGAUCUUCGGACCUCUCGCUGAUGGAUGGCUCCGCGUCUGAUUAGCUAGUUGGUAAGGUAACGGCUUACCAAGGCGAUGAUCAGUAGCUGGUCUGAGAGGAUGAUCAGUCACACUGGAACUGAGACACGGUCCAGACUCCUACGGGAGGCAGCAGUGGGGAAUUUUGCACAAUGGGGGAAACCCUGAUGCAGCGACGCCGCGUGCGGGAAGAAGGCCUUCGGGUUGUAAACCGCUUUCAGCAGGGAAGAAGGAAUGAGGGCCAAUACCCCUCUGCCUUGACGGUACCUGCAGAAGAAGCCCCGGCUAAUUUCGUGCCAGCAGCCGCGGUAAUACGAAAGGGGCAAGCGUUGUUCGGAUUUACUGGGCGUAAAGAGAUCGUAGGUGGCUUGUUAAGUCGGAUGUGAAAUCCCGGGGCUCAACCCCGGAACUGCAUUCGAUACUGGCAGGCUUGAGUUCGGGAGGGGUAAGCGGAAUUCCGUGUGUAGCAGUGAAAUGCGUAGAUAUACGGAGGAACACCUGAGGCGAAAGCGGCUCACUGGACCGAUACUGACACUGAGGAUCGAAAGCGUGGGUAGCAAACAGGAUUAGAUACCCUGGCAGUCCACGCCCUGAACGAUGUCUACUAGCCGUUGCGGGUAUCGACCCCUGCAGUGGCGCAGCUAACGCAUAAGUAGACCGCCUGGGGAGUACGGCCGCAAGGCUAAAACUCAAAGGAAUUGACGGGGGCCCGCACAAGCGGUGGAGCAUGUGGUUUAAUUCGACGCA
Molecule: ribosomal RNA, 942 nt
Filed under: uncultured Zetaproteobacteria bacterium
Lineage: Bacteria; Pseudomonadati; Pseudomonadota; Candidatius Mariprofundia
Description: bacterial SSU rRNA
Rfam family: Bacterial small subunit ribosomal RNA
Source: RNAcentral